UAACCAGAUUUACUGCAAUUUAUCUCCCAAUAUAAAAAUAAGUAAUAAAAUAAAUAAUAAGAAAAUCGUGCUUACGUAAUACUUGAGCGGCCCCUUUGGAUAUAACUGUAAGUCUGGUAGUCUGGUAGGCAGGAAAAUGGAAGUGCAUUUAAAAGUCAGUUCAAAAUAAUGUUACGGGAACUAUAUGUAUGUUAUACUAUCUACCUAUGUAUAUACAUAUACCUGCAGCUGAGUUUCAACAUCGGACGUAAAGGCAGACUACAAAAUACCAUUCGAUUCAUCUCGAGUUUUAGAUUGUCUCCUGAGACGCGGUCGAUACGUUUACGGCGUUUGGAACAGUGCCAGGGCAAUGUAUGAACUUAGGUUGAGUACACACUGCAUUAUAAUUUGACAGCUGACGAUACAAGCCACGUUUACAAGUGUCAAUAUAAAGCUGUAUUAAAAGGAUAGAUUUAUGUUUGUUCCUUUAUUAAAUUCAGAUGAGAUCUUUUUAAUUUAGGUCCGUAAACAUGACACAUCUAAACUAACCUAUGUUACAACCAACUUAAAUUGACAAAAACAAACAAAAAAGACGCUUGUUUAGUAAACAUAGGCCAGCCUUUUCGAUAACUCUCUUAGCCCAUUGUCAGGUCGGGUAAUGGAGCGCCAUUUCUACAAGGUAAUGCAAGGCAGGGGAAUGUCCAAAACACUUUAUGACACACGCAAACCCAGUAUCUUUGAGAAGAAGUCCUGACACUAAACCAGUGAUUGGCAAUCUUUUAUUUUAUUUAUACCAACUGGACAGACGAUUGGCCUCAAUCCCAACUAAUGUUAAGUGAGAUGUGGUCUAUUGGAGGACAAGCUUGUCCAGGAGAUGUCUGUACAACCACCGGAUGAAUAAACCUAUAUUGUACUGUCUAGGGAGGAUGGGAUGGGGGCAAGGAGUUCCACUUUCCCCGUUCAUUUGCUGUUGUUAUAAGUAACGACAGACCAAAUCGUGCAGUGUGGCACCUGGGGAUGUCGGUGGUGAAGCGUAGGGGUGAAACUUCAGCGUGCUUCCAGAUGAGCGCUGCUUGAAAGGGGCUGACGAAAUUAGAAUUCUGUAACAGUAGAUUUAAACAACUAGUUUCAGAAACCAUUACUUGCUAUUAUUGUUAUUUUAUCUUAUAUACGUGAAUAACAUAUUUUCAUAUGUGUUUGAUUGUCCUCGUUUUGACAUGUGUUUGAGAGCAAACAUAAA
Molecule: long non-coding RNA, 1219 nt
Organism: Pieris brassicae (large cabbage white)
Lineage: Eukaryota; Metazoa; Arthropoda; Insecta; Lepidoptera; Pieridae
Exons: 3
Source: RefSeq, a predicted model, not a curated record